This 500-nucleotide ribosomal RNA is filed under the name uncultured bacterium. RNAcentral's name for it is "partial 16S ribosomal RNA". It matches the Rfam family "Bacterial small subunit ribosomal RNA", at positions 30 to 523 of the family's 1533-position model. The record is from RNAcentral.
AUUGAACGCUGGCGGCAUGCCUUACACAUGCAAGUCGAACGGCAGCACGGGAGCAAUCCUGGUGGCGAGUGGCGAACGGGUGAGUGAAGUAUCGGAACGUGCCCAGUCGUGGGGGAUAACGUAGCGAAAGUUACGCUAAUACCGCAUACGAUCUAUGGAUGAAAGAGGGGGCUCGCAAGACACCGCGCGAUUGGAGCGGCCGAUAGCAGAUUAGGUAGUUGGUGGGGUAAAGGCUCACCAAGCCGACGAUCUGUAGCUGGUCUGAGAGGACGACCAGCCACACUGGGACUGAGACACGGCCCAGACUCCUACGGGAGGCAGCAGUGGGGAAUUUUGGACAAUGGGCGAAAGCCUGAUCCAGCCAUGCCGCGUGCAGGAUGAAGGCCUUCGGGUUGUAAACUGCUUUUGUACGGAACGAAAAGGUUUGGCCUAAUAAGCUGAGCUCAUGACGGUACCGUAAGAAUAAGCACCGGCUAACUACGUGCCAGCCGCCGCUGUAA